AAGCGGUGGAGCAUGUGGUUUAAUUCGAUGCAACGCGAAGAACCUUACCUGGUCUUGACAUCCACAGAACUUUGCAGAGAUGGUUUGGUGCCUUCGGGAACUGUGAGACAGGUGCUGCAUGGCUGUCGUCAGCUCGUGUUGUGAAAUGUUGGGUUAAGUCCCGCAACGAGCGCAACCCUUAUCCUUUGUUGCCAGCGGUUAGGCCGGGAACUCAAAGGAGACUGCCAGUGAUAAACUGGAGGAAGGUGGGGAUGACGUCAAGUCAUCAUGGCCCUUACGACCAGGGCUACACACGUGCUACAAUGGCGCAUACAAAGAGAAGCGACCUCGCGAGAGCAAGCGGACCUCAUAAAGUGCGUCGUAGUCCGGAUUGGAGUCUGCAACUCGACUCCAUGAAGUCGGAAUCGCUAGUAAUCGUAGAUCAGAAUGCUACGGUGAAUACGUUCCCGGGCCUUGUACACACCGCCCGUCACACCAUGGGAGUGGGUUGCAAAAGAAGUA
This 501-nucleotide ribosomal RNA is filed under the name Enterobacter cloacae. RNAcentral describes it as "bacterial SSU rRNA". It matches the Rfam family "Bacterial small subunit ribosomal RNA", at positions 927 to 1428 of the family's 1533-position model. The record is from RNAcentral. Lineage: Bacteria; Pseudomonadati; Pseudomonadota; Gammaproteobacteria; Enterobacterales; Enterobacteriaceae.